CGAAAAGUGCCCUCCCCUCCAUUACCCCUCACCACCUGUGGUAAAUGGGAGAGCUGACCCAGCCCCUCAUCUGGGCAACAUCAGAGCUGACCCUGAUGGCGUUGGUGAGGGCGAGCCAGCCCCGAGGGCAUGAGUGUGGGAGAGCUAGCCCACACCCAUAUGUCAUAUGGUGGCAUGGGUGGAGGAGAGGUGCCUUCCCCAAUUUGUUCCUCCCUGCCUGCAGCAGUUGGGAGAGCAGGGUUAGGGAUGAGGGUGGGCUGGCCCUGAGGGUAUGAGGGUGGAAGAGCUAGCCUUUCCCCUCUCCUGCUCCAGCACUCAGGAGAGCAGGUCCUGCAGCUCACCUGGGCAGCAUAGUAGAGCUGACUUCACUAAAAGGGGCUCAGGUCGAGAACAUGAGUGUGAGAGAUCUGGUCCCGCCCCUCAUCUGCCAUAUGGUAGCAUGGGCAAGAGAUAGAAGUUUCCCACGCCCUUUAUGACCCGUGGCAGGUGGGAGAGCUGUCCCUGAGGUCACAAGAGUGAGAAACAAGAGUGGGGACACAAGAGUGUCCCUCUCACUAGCUGCGGCACUCUGUAGAGUGGCCUCUACACUCACCAGCUGGAUCUAGUGGCGUAGGUGCGGGCAAGGCAGCCCAAGGACAUGGGAGCUGGAGAACUGGUCCCAUCCUUUGCUGCUUACUACAUAGGGUGAGGUGGCUGGGGUGGUGCUGGAGAGCUCACCCUGGUGGUGAGGAUGAGGGAGAGCUGGUGAGCUGACUAAUCUAGCAACCACCAAGACGCGGAACCCAGGUUGGCCCAUCCCAUCAUCCAUCCCAUCUGUGAUCUGCUGGAGCACAUGAAGAGGCCGGCCCUGCAGAUCCGAAGUUGCAAGAUCUCCAUGACACAGGACAACAACAGGAUAUCCAAGAGGAUCCACAAUUCUCCACUGGUAGCAGACAUUGUUCACUCUCCACUCCAAGAAGUUGGGGCACGUGGUAUUUGUGCACCAGGCAGACUUGCUUGCCUGUUAAAGCACAUGUGGACUUGAAGUUUAAUAUACCCAAGAAAGAAAAGGGGGUACAGUGUCUGUGCCUACCACAAAAUAGUAUCAGAAUACAAAAGAUUAUCCUCUUGCUUACAGAACAAAAAACAAAGAAAUCAGAGAAGAUUUAUGAAGAGUGGCCCAAAUUGAAACCUCUUUGGAAACAUCUUUCCUGUGUUUUAUUUUAAAUGGAGUGCAUGGAUGGGUAUUUCCCAACAGACUAUGGGAUGCUAGAGGGCAAAGCAUCAGUCUUAUUUAUUUUAGAUACUGCAUACCUACUUUUGGGAGUAUGUCAGUGAAGCAUUCUUAACAGGCUUAAGGAAAUUUGUGGAAGAGGGACCAGAAAGGUAAUAGCCAGAAGAUCAGGAUGUAUGCUGUGAGACAGUGUCUUCUGAGAAUCUGCACCAUGAACUCUCAACAGUAUGAUUGUCUGAACAAUACCUGCAUGACAAUACCACCAGUUGUCACACCAACAAGAAUGGGGGAAGUUUCACAAGACCCUACCCUUAGAUGAAGAACUACAGAUGAUCAGUGCCUGCCGAGAUUGGAACACUCUUGAAGGUAUGAGGCACAUUGAGCUUCCAUCUUUGGAACAGAACAGAAUGUCUGACACAAGAUGAGUAAUUCCCUAGUUAAGGGCAGAACAAUGAAUCAUGUCCUGGCUAUUGGCAGACCUUAGAGUAUUAUUUUCCCUGGCCACACUAUGUUGUCUACCUUUUAAAUUGGAUUACAGUAAUGCAAUAUACAUACCUUUCAAUGGAAUGUUGUAAGAAAAAAGUACCAAGUACUUGAAAAUAUUAAAUCAGAAAGCACUAUUCUGCAUCCUUUAAAGAUAAUAAUAAUAUAAUAACCUCAUAUUUAUUACAUGUCUACUAUGAGCCCACCUCUUGUUAAAUGCUUUCUUUGAAUACACUAAAUUUCUAUACAUCCACGAUUGCUGUGGAUCUUGUGUUGCCUUCCUUUUCAAACAAAAGCUAAAACACUACUCAAUUUCCAUCAAUAGAUGAAUGAAUGAAAAUAUGUGGUCUAUGUAUACAAUGGAAAUGUAUUUUGCCAUGAAGUAAAGCCUAUAAACACUGGUAGAAAUCACUAGGUUAAGCAAAAUAACACAGAUUCAGAAAGGCAAACACCAUGUAUUUCUCAUAUGCAGAAUUUUUUAAUUUGUGUGUAUGGAUGUGUGUGUCCAUCUCUUUGACUGUUUGUCUGUCCAUGUCUGUAUUAGUCAUGAAAACUGAAAGGGGAUGAUAAGAGAGUCCGUAAGUGUCCUUAAGAGGUAGGGGAGAAAAUAGAAAGUAAUGGAAGAAAACUAUUAUGAAAACAGAGAGGAGAAUAAUUUGAGGGAAGGAAACUAGUAAGGGGAGCAAGGGAACAUGAGGGAAUGUAGUGGGGGAAUGAGGUGGAUAAGAACAAAGUACUUUCAAUGAAACUCAUUACUUUGCUAACUAAAAAGUAAAGUGGUGAUUAAAACUAAAACAAACCAAAGAUAUAUGCUGAUUUGCUUCUAUCACUGUGAUAACUUACCUGUGCAAAUUGACUUAAAGGAAAAAGGAUUAGUUUGGGCUCAUGGUUUAGUCUAGGGUUUGUUGGACCUAUCUUUAUGGGCAUGUGUUGAUAUAAAAUCAUGAUAAAGAUUGCAGCAAGGUAGAGAAGUUCUUCUCACCUCAUGACAGUCAAGAGCAAGAGAGAGAGAAAGAGAGAGGGAGAGGGCACAUUGUUAAGAAACCCUUGAAACACACCCACAAUGACACACUUUCUCCACCUAGGUUCUAUCUUCUAAAAGCCCAUUUAACCAAUCAAUGGAUUAAUCCAUUGAUGAAGUUGGUGCUCUCAUUAUCCAGUCACCUCUCAAAUAGCAACAUCGAUCCUUUGACAUAUGAAUGUUUUGAAGGGACAUUUCAUUUUUAAACCACAACAUGGCUCAUUCUCAAAUAUUAAUGCCAUCGAUCAGACUGACUGCUAUUACUUUAGUCAGUUUCUCCAGACUCCUUUUUCAUGAACCUAUUUCUUUUUUUCCAGAAUCCUCAUGAGCAUCUGAGAGUGCCUUGCUUAUUUAUUUUUUUAAAUAUUUUUUCUGUUGGUAGGCAUAGUAGACAAAACCUUAGUAUUAAUAGAACUAUGCAAGUACUUAGAUUAUUUUUGAUGGGUUAAAGAAUGAAGAACAUGCUCAUGAUCCUUGACAGACUCUGACCAGUGGAGAAAAUGCUGUGGUAGCCAUUGCUCUUAGAAGAAAGGUAGAAGAAUGAUUGAUCUGUUCCUUGUGUCUCUAAGUUAUGAAUCACAAGAUAUCCAAACAAUGAUUUGUACACUAUUUUAAAAGUAGAAACCAUGUUCAAGAGACAUAAAUUGCUGAAGGGUUUGCCACAGUGAUCCCAUCCAUGCUUCAAGUCUGCAUUAGUGACAAAAGAGCUUCCCAUUAAUUCCUUUGGGUAAUUCAGAAAGUAAAUCCUGUAGGGUACGGUUCAUGAUACUCAAAACAUAGAAUCGAUUCUAUACUAGAAUUAACAACAGGAUGAGGCUCUGACAGAUGUAGUAGAAAUCCUGCUGAGUCCAGAGUUGAAAGAAGAUACAGGAAACAGGGCAUGGAGCCUGUGAAAACAGCUCAGCAGAAAUGGGUAAAUGUCAGUUCCCAAGCUUUCCUGCUGACCUCGCCUCUGGGAAAUCACACUACGUAGUAUACUAGGAUAUGAAUAUCUGGUGUCAGUUUGGCAUGGCAAAACCUUCUUUCCAAUUAGGUUUAAUGGUAAAAUUAUGUCAAGGUAAUUAUUUAAAGUUACAAUACAAGAAAGAACUGCAGACUUGUCCAUUGAUCAUGGACCUUCAUCACUAAAGAAGUCAUUGCAAUAUCCUGGGCAUUGUAAAGGAAGCAUUGAGAAGUAUAGCUAAGAAUGAGAUAAAAGCACCUAGAGUAUUUUCAGCAUCCAAUAGCCUUUUAUUUUUCUUUCAACUCAGAUAAAGUCAGCAGAGUAUAGCAAAGAUGAGAAUUCAACAAAAUGCAUACAUCAUAGUUCAUUCACAAAAUAAGGACUAUUUCUUCUAAAAUUGAUGUUGGUUUGGAUUUGAGUUUUGGGGGGAUAGUUUCCAAAUAAGGAAAAUGUGUUUGAUUAAACUCCAAAUCAACACUUUAUUUUCUAAUAAAUAAUUCAUUUUAUAACAAAAUAAUCAUCAUGAUCCUGAUAUAAAUCUACUAUUAUACAUAUUAGUUGCCUUUCUGGUUUUGAUAAAACAGCUGAAAGAAGCAACUUAAGGAAGAAAGUCUAGUGGAGGUUGGGUGUGGGGGGUUCAAGGAGAGAUGGAGAUGCACACACAGAGAGAAAGAAAUGGAAAGAGAGAGAUAGAGAGAGACAAAGAUGGAGAGAGACUGGGAUGAGAAUAGAGAUAGAGAGAUAGAGAUUGAGAGAGGCAGACACAAAGAGAGGCAGAGACCAUGAGAGUUUAGAAAGCAGGGCCUGACUGGUCCCUAACUCAUAUCUCCUCAGAACAACCCAUCUUCUCCAGACAGGCCUCACAUCCUAAAGUUUUCAGAUCCUUCCAGAACAGUGACAUCAGCUAGUGAUCAGGUGAGCUUGGAUGCUACAUUUCACACUUAAAUAAUGACAUCACCUAACUUCUUUCCAACACUCAAGAGCUCCACCAUCGUCAGUGGCUAGAAUAAUGGUCAGCACACAUUAAGGACUAAUCAAAUAUCCUUUUGAAGAUGUACAUGUUUGUAGAAUUUUUGUUAAAUUAUUCUUGACAGAAUUUGGUUGGUAGACAGGAAUUUGGGCUGAUCACUUUAGGAGAGAAGACCAAAAGGAUGAAAUUCACUUAGUUUUAAUUUUACUUUAUUAUUUUAAAUAAAAAAUUAUUGUGUUGCUCGUUGUACAUGAUACUGUGUUUUCACACAUGCAUUCACUGUACAUUGCACUUAUUGCUCACAGACUCUCCAACUCUGCCCUUUCCCUCUUCUUCCCAUGAAUCCUCCAUCUUGAAAAUUUCACAUCUACUUUCACAUCUUAUAUACAUACUUGAUUAUAUAUAUCUAUUAAAAUCUAGAAACCAUAAUUGAGAAAACAUGUGUUUUAUGAGACUGGCUGAAUUCACCUAAUAUGAUUGAUUGUCCUAGGUUAUAUACAUUUUCCUGCAAUGACAUAACUUUGUCUUCCUCAUGACUGAAAUUGAAUUGUACCACAAUUAUCCAUCCCUCUCCUCUGUUAAUGGACAUAUAGGACGGUUCCAUAGUUCAGUUGUUGUGAUGAGUGCUGAGGUAAACAUUGAUAUGCAGAUGUCUCGGUAAUACCUUGACUUGGAAUGUUCAAGGUAAACCCCUAAAACUGGCCCACCCAGCCAUUUGCAAAUCCCAGACUAGUUUGUCUUCUCACCAACAGUGUAUAAAGGUUUCCCAUUGGUCAUAUCUUUACCAACAUUUGCUCUUUUAAUGACUAAGGUUCCAUCUGGGGUGAGAUGUAAUUUUAAUUUUCAUUUCUCUGAUGGCUAGUGAGGCUAAACAGUUUUUUAUGUUUACUGGUCAUUUGUAAUUCAUUUUAAAAGAACUAAAUGUUUAUUACGUGAGUUGUUUAAUUUCUUGCUAUUUAGUUUAAUUAUUUGUGUUUUCUGGAUAUUAAUCCUCUGUCAGACAAAUAAUAAUCUGAAAUUGUAUCCCAUCUUGUAAUCUGUCUCUUCGCUGAAUUAGUUAAAUGGAAGCCUUUUAAUUUCAUGAAGUUCUAUUUGUCAAUUGCUGGUAUUAUGAAAUUCUUUUCUUGCAUCAUCGGUGGAUUAAUACUUUGUGAUGAUUGUUAUUAGCACUAUUAUUUGUUUAAAUGUACUGCAUUUGCUAAGUAUAUCCUAUUUUUGGAAAUACUUUUAAAUAAAUCAUAUGUAAUUUCACAGUCCUCUUGUGAGACAAAAGUUAUUCUUUUCUUUAUUUUUUGUUACAAUCAAGAUUUGGGGAGGAAAAUAAUAAAAGUUAGUGCUGAGAUUUUGAGUUAUGCCAACAAACAGCAAUCACAUUUUCUGGAAUCGUUAUCUCAAAAAAAUAGAGGCUUACUCUGUGUAAUGUUACUUGUACGUAUGUUUCCAGGGCUGACCAUUUGGUGUUGGCUAACCAGUUGGUGUGCUCCUCCCUGGGAAAGACUGUUCCUCCUGCUCUCAGCAUUCCUUAGUUGCCUGUAGUUCAGGGUUGAAGCAUCCUAAGCUCCCCCCUGUGUCCUUUCCCAAGUCUAUUGGUGUCAUCUUUGUCCAGCUAGUGUUUGGGUAGUCAUAUUGUGAAUACAUCAUGGGUUUAGAGUCUAACAUUAUUAGGACACACGAUAUCAGAGCAAACUCCCUGAUCUUUGGCUCUUACAAUCUUUCCACCCUCUUUUUUGCUAUGUUCUCUAAGCUUUAGGUAUGGAAGUAUUUCAUCGCUAUAUGCAUAUGCAUAUAUAUAUGCAAUAAUAAUUAAUGAAAAAAGAGGCCAAGAAUUUGAAAGAGAGCAAGAGAGGUAAAUGGGAAACAUUGAAGGGAGGAAAAAGAGGAGAGAAAUGUGGCAAUAUAUUAUCUCAAAAAUAAAUUAAAAAUGUAAAGAAAAAGAGGCUUAGAUGAAUACUGAGUGAGUUAUUCAAGACAAUGUGUGAUUAUUAUCAUAUGAAAAAUGAAGAUGUUCUCAUUCUCAUUGGAUACUGCAUUGGAAAUGACACAGCUAAAAUGAAAGAUGAUUACAUAUAUAAUUUAAUUUAACAAUCCAAUUUAUUGGUGUGGGAUUAUCACACAGAAAUUGUACCUAUUAUUUAAUCUAUGCACUUGAGUUUGUAGGUAAGUAUGCGCCCAUGAAAUCUUUAUAUACCAUAAACAUAGCUGUUACUUCUGAAACUUCCCCCAUUUUCUUGUUCAUUAUAGCCAAUGUUUGUUACAGGAAAACUUAGCAUAAACUCCACCCUCUUAAAGUACUAUGACUAGCCUGAGAAAGAGGAAGAUUGACAGGUGUUAGUUAAAGGACACUAAGCUUCAGGUAUACCAGAUAGCAAGUCUUAGAGAUCUACCACCCAGAAGUUUACUAACACUAAAUCAUAUACUUUUUUCAAAAAGUAGAUUUUUAUGUUAAAUCUGUAAGAAUAUAAAGGCAGCAAUCUGCCUAGAGCUCUAUGGAGAAGCACGAUGUAUUCCAAGGAUUCCUAGGAGACCAGUAUGGGCACUGACACACUCGUAUUACUUUGAGAAUCCCUGAAAUCCACCUACUAUUCUCAUGUCCCACUGCUGUCCGACUUGCUGGUUAGUUACAAGCCCUGCUCAGGUUUUCUAGCUAGAUGAUGGUGCCCCGGACAGCUUAAAGUGUAUGUUCAUCAUGGAUUUAUUGACAUAUUGAUGCAGUAAUUGUCUUCUUAUCUCCACAGGUAUGUAUCCUUAGCUACAAAGGCUUUACAGUAUGUUGGCACAAUGUCAAAGAGAUCCUUCUGUUGUCUGUCACCAAGAAGAGGAAAACUCAAGUUAAACUCUCUGGGUGCUCAAUAAAGAUUAAUCUACAAUCUACUGCCUAUUAGUUUCUAUAAACUGAAUAAAGCUGGGAUUUCUCCUCCUUUAACUAUCACACCUACUAAUGUUUUUCAAGAUCUCUUUCUCCUUGUCAUUUUGCCUGAGUUGCUUUUUUAAGCACACAUCUGAUGAUGCAAUUUAGGGAAUUGGAUACAGUUACAAAUAAAGCCUAGAAUCAAGAUCCAGUUUCUUUUGUUUGAGAGGUGGGUUAGAAUCUCCCACUACUUCCCAGGUUAGCCUGGAGUUCACUUAGAGAAGGACGACUAUGGACUCCUGAUCCUCCAUGCCUCCAUCUCCCAACUUCCCAUCUUCCCAACUUUACAAGUGUGUUCCACCACACUCAAGAAAGCACCUGGUCUUCCCCAUUAAAUAUGAUGUUAGUUGUGUCUCUUUCUUUCUACAGAGCAUUGAACCUUUGGCCUUGCUCUAACCUUUCCCUUGAUAAUUCUCUUACAAGUCCAAAUAAGGAAGGAUUUUUUUUUCUACAGCUGGCAGAUUCAAGAGUACAACAACUUAGAAAAAAAAUCAAUCAUCAAACAAUGACCAGUUUGUUGUUGUUUUUAAAACUUUUUAAUCACUAAUUCAA
This is a non-coding RNA of Peromyscus maniculatus bairdii (prairie deer mouse), 8090 nucleotides long. The record is from RefSeq and is a predicted model, not a curated record. NCBI's taxonomy places the organism in Eukaryota, Metazoa, Chordata, Mammalia, Rodentia, Cricetidae.